CUGCGAUGAUGGCAUUUCUUAGGACACCUUUGGAUUAAUCAUGAAAACAGCUACUCUCUGAGCAGC
Molecule: small nucleolar RNA, 66 nt
Organism: Delphinapterus leucas (beluga whale)
Lineage: Eukaryota; Metazoa; Chordata; Mammalia; Artiodactyla; Monodontidae
Gene: SNORD58
Rfam family: Small nucleolar RNA SNORD58
About the family: snoRNA U58 is found in introns 1, 3 and 6 of the ribosomal protein RPL17 gene in humans. U58 is a member of the C/D class of snoRNA which contain C (UGAUGA) and D (CUGA) box motifs.
Source: Ensembl